CAUAGGUUAAUGAGGCGAACCGGGGGAACUGAAACAUCUAAGUACCCCGAGGAAAAGAAAUCAACCGAGAUUCCCCCAGUAGCGGCGAGCGAACGGGGAGCAGCCCAGAGCCUGAAUCAGUGUGUGUGUUAGUGGAAGCGUCUGGAAAGGCGCGCGAUACAGGGUGACAGCCCCGUACACAAAAAUGCACAUACUGUGAGCUCGAUGAGUAGGGCGGGACACGUGGUAUCCUGUCUGAAUAUGGGGGGACCAUCCUCCAAGGCUAAAUACUCCUGACUGACCGAUAGUGAACCAGUACCGUGAGGGAAAGGCGAAAAGAACCCCGGCGAGGGGAGUGAAAAAGAACCUGAAACCGUGUACGUACAAGCAGUGGGAGCACGCUUAGGCGUGUGACUGCGUACCUUUUGUAUAAUGGGUCAGCGACUUAUAUUCUGUAGCAAGGUUAACCGAAUAGGGGAGCCGAAGGGAAACCGAGUCUUAACUGGGCGUUAAGUUGCAGGGUAUAGACCCGAAACCCGGUGAUCUAGCCAUGGGCAGGUUGAAGGUUGGGUAACACUAACUGGAGGACCGAACCGACUAAUGUUGAAAAAUUAGCGGAUGACUUGUGGCUGGGGGUGAAAGGCCAAUCAAACCGGGAGAUAGCUGGUUCUCCCCGAAAGCUAUUUAGGUAGCGCCUCGUGAAUUCAUCUCCGGGGGUAGAGCACUGUUUCGGCAAGGGGGUCAUCCCGACUUACCAACCCGAUGCAAACUGCGAAUACCGGAGAAUGUUAUCACGGGAGACACACGGCGGGUGCUAACGUCCGUCGUGAAGAGGGAAACAACCCAGACCGCCAGCUAAGGUCCCAAAGUCAUGGUUAAGUGGGAAACGAUGUGGGAAGGCCCAGACAGCCAGGAUGUUGGCUUAGAAGCAGCCAUCAUUUAAAGAAAGCGUAAUAGCUCACUGGUCGAGUCGGCCUGCGCGGAAGAUGUAACGGGGCUAAACCAUGCACCGAAGCUGCGGCAGCGACGCUGAUGCGUUGUUGGGUAGGGGAGCGUUCUGUAAGCCUGUGAAGGUGUGCUGUGAGGCAUGCUGGAGGUAUCAGAAGUGCGAAUGCUGACAUAA
RNAcentral lists this ribosomal RNA (1102 nucleotides) under Escherichia coli. RNAcentral's name for it is "partial 23S ribosomal RNA". It matches the Rfam family "Bacterial large subunit ribosomal RNA", at positions 165 to 1305 of the family's 2925-position model. Lineage: Bacteria; Pseudomonadati; Pseudomonadota; Gammaproteobacteria; Enterobacterales; Enterobacteriaceae. The record is from RNAcentral.